Laticauda laticaudata (blue-ringed sea krait) is the source of this 87-nucleotide microRNA precursor. Ensembl annotates it as microRNA 23a. Its record names the gene MIR23A. Lineage: Eukaryota; Metazoa; Chordata; Lepidosauria; Squamata; Elapidae. The record is from Ensembl.
CUGCUGCUGCUGCCUGCUGGGGUUCCUGGUGAUGUGAUUUUACCUUGAUGUUCAGAAUCACAUUGCCAGGGAUUUCCAACUGUUGGC